Molecule: ribosomal RNA, 250 nt
Filed under: uncultured bacterium
Lineage: Bacteria
Description: partial 16S ribosomal RNA
Rfam family: Bacterial small subunit ribosomal RNA
Source: RNAcentral
UACGGAGGGUGCGAGCGUUAAUCGGAAUUACUGGGCGUAAAGCGCAUGCAGGUGGUUCGUUAAGUCAGAUGUGAAAGCCCGGGGCUCAACCUCGGAAUAGCAUUUGAAACUGGCGGACUAGAGUACUGUAGAGGGGGGUAGAAUUUCAGGUGUAGCGGUGAAAUGCGUAGAGAUCUGAAGGAAUACCAGUGGCGAAGGCGGCCCCCUGGACAGAUACUGACACUCAGAUGCGAAAGCGUGGGGAGCAAAC